CUGGCUCAGGACGAACGCUGGCGGCAUGCCUCACACAUGCAAGUCGAACGGGGUAUAGUUUAAAGCUUGCUUUAGCCUAUACCUAGUGGCGGACGGGUGAGUAACGCGUGGGCAACCUACCCUACAGACCGGGAUACCAUCGGGAAACUGAUGUUAAUACCGGAUACACUUAGCCUAGGGCAUCCUAGGCUAAGGAAAGAACUAUCGCUGUAGGAUGGGCCUGCGUUCCAUUAGCUAGUUGGUAGGGUAACGGCCUA
Molecule: ribosomal RNA, 257 nt
Filed under: Anaerobranca californiensis DSM 14826
Lineage: Bacteria; Bacillati; Bacillota; Clostridia; Eubacteriales; Proteinivoracaceae
Description: 16S rRNA. Bacterial SSU
Rfam family: Bacterial small subunit ribosomal RNA
Source: RNAcentral